This 759-nucleotide long non-coding RNA is filed under the name Equus asinus (donkey). RNAcentral describes it as "lncRNA (ENSEASG00005028681.1)". The record is from RNAcentral. Lineage: Eukaryota; Metazoa; Chordata; Mammalia; Perissodactyla; Equidae.
CUGGAGUCUAAUUAGCGUUUAGGCUUCUCAUUGAGAAAUCGUUUAUCCUAUUCUUCAGGGCCAGCGUGGAUGGAGGGAGAGAAGGCGCCGAGGGUUUGGGCAGGUGGCACCCGAGGCCCCAGUUGGGUGCGGGUGGAAAAGAGGUCCCUCGAUCACUGGAGGUCACACCCGUGGAUGAUGGAGGGUGAGCGUGUACCCUGCCUGUGUGCGCUGGUGUGCCCAAAGCACACGAUGGACACACGGAUCCUGUGCUCAGACGUCUACACCAGGGACACCGUGGGUGUGCCGUGUGUCUCCUGGGUGCUCAUCGCUCUCUCUCCCCAGCGGUCUGGCCUCCACUCUGCCUUCAGGGGUGCUUCAUACAGUUCUUCCUGGCACCUCCCGGGAUGUGACUCUGGGCCCCGUGGCCAUCAUGUCCCUCCUGGUCUCCUUCUACACCUUCCGUGACCCCCCCCUGUGCUGUGCUGCUGGCCUUCCUGUGGGGCUGCAUGCAGUUAGCCAUGGGCUCCUGGGCUUGGGGUUCCUGCUGAAACCCUGCCCCACCAUCUCCGGCCCCGUCAGUCAUUCAAGGUCUCACCUCUGCUGCUACCGUCACCAUCGGCCUUGGGCAGAUCAAGUUGUAUCCUGAAGGCAUCUGUCACUUCUGGAAUCCACUCCAACCACGAGGAGGAGAGUCCCUCCAAUGCCUAUGAUAUGGACUCUUCAGGAGUUUUUAGUUUUAAAAGUGGGAAUCUGGAAGCCUCAGUUCUUCAUGACUCC